AGAGUUUGAUCAUGGCUCAGAACGAACGCUGGCGGCAGGCUUAACACAUGCAAGUCGAACGCACCGCAAGGUGAGUGGCAGACGGGUGAGUAACGCGUGGGAACGUGCCCUUCAGUUCGGGAUAACCCAGGGAAACUUGGGCUAAUACCGGAUACGUGCGAGAGCAGAAAGAUUCAUCGCUGAAGGAUCGGCCCGCGUCUGAUUAGCUAGUUGGUAGGGUAAUGGCCUACCAAGGCGACGAUCAGUAGCUGGUCUGAGAGGAUGAUCAGCCACAUUGGGACUGAGACACGGCCCAAACUCCUACGGGAGGCAGCAGUGGGGAAUAUUGGACAAUGGGCGCAAGCCUGAUCCAGCCAUGCCGCGUGAGUGAUGAAGGCCUUAGGGUUGUAAAGCUCUUUCGUCCGGGACGAUAAUGACGGUACCGGAAGAAGAAGCCCCGGCUAACUUCGUGCCAGCAGCCGCGGUAAUACGAAGGGGGCUAGCGUUGUUCGGAAUCACUGGGCGUAAAGGGAGCGUAGGCGGAACGACAAGUCAGAGGUGAAAGCCCGGGGCUCAACCUCGGAAUUGCCUUUGAGACUGUCGAUCUAGAGUUUGGGAGAGGUGUGUGGAACUCCGAGUGUAGAGGUGAAAUUCGUAGAUAUUCGGAAGAACACCAGUGGCGAAGGCGACACACUGGCCCAAUACUGACGCUGAGGCGCGAAAGCGUGGGGAGCAAACAGGAUUAGAUACCCCGGUAGUCC
This 740-nucleotide ribosomal RNA is filed under the name uncultured Microvirga sp. RNAcentral describes it as "bacterial SSU rRNA". It matches the Rfam family "Bacterial small subunit ribosomal RNA", at positions 8 to 796 of the family's 1533-position model. The record is from RNAcentral. Lineage: Bacteria; Pseudomonadati; Pseudomonadota; Alphaproteobacteria; Hyphomicrobiales; Methylobacteriaceae.